GACGGACGCUGGCGGCGUGCUUAACACAUGCAAGUCGAACGGAAAGGCCCUGCUUUUGUGGGGUGCUCGAGUGGCGAACGGGUGAGUAACACGUGAGUAGCCUGCCCUUGACUUUGGGAUAACUUCAGGAAACUGGGGCUAAUACCGGAUAGGAGCUCCUGCUGCAUGGUGGGGGUUGGAAAGUUUCGGCGGUUGGGGAUGGACUCGCGGCUUAUCAGCUUGUUGGUGGGGUAGUGGCUUACCAAGGCUUUGACGGGUAGCCGGCCUGAGAGGGUGACCGGCCACAUUGGGACUGAGAUACGGCCCAGACUCCUACGGGAGGCAGCAGUGGGGAAUAUUGCACAAUGGGCGGAAGCCUGAUGCAGCAACGCCGCGUGCGGGAUGACGGCCUUCGGGUUGUAAACCGCUUUCGCCUGUGACGAAGCGUGAGUGACGGUAAUGGGUAAAGAAGCACCGGCUAACUACGUG
Molecule: ribosomal RNA, 468 nt
Filed under: uncultured bacterium
Lineage: Bacteria
Description: partial 16S ribosomal RNA
Rfam family: Bacterial small subunit ribosomal RNA
Source: RNAcentral